This 658-nucleotide long non-coding RNA is filed under the name Homo sapiens (human). Its description in RNAcentral is "long intergenic non-protein coding RNA 710". The record is from RNAcentral. Lineage: Eukaryota; Metazoa; Chordata; Mammalia; Primates; Hominidae.
AGCUCUGGGGCUUCAGUCAAUGACUCAGGGUAGCCACCGAACAUGAUGCUCGGGCAGUGGGUGCCACCUGGACUCCACUCUCCCCUCUCUCUGGGAUCAUAGAGUCCAAGGUGUUCUGUGGCCUCUCGGCCAAUCCCAGCAGCUCAGCGUGCAGAAGACCGAGGAGCCAUUGGAAUUCAACACAACACGAAAUAAUCAACAAAUUCGGGGAAUGUUAAUCUGACCAUCACCAGUUACAAAUGAUGUUUCAUGCUACCUUCUAUUCCUGCCUUCAUAAAUCAAGGAAAAGAAAAAGAGAACAUAUAUCCCCCUACCUUUUGAUUUCCAACAGUCUACUGAGAGGCCAAGAUUAUUUGCAGGGAAAGAAAAGGGGUCAAAAUGUUUUGCCAGUAACUCCCAAAUCAUCUACAGCCAAGGAGAAAAGUGUUUCAAGACAGAGGUGCUCAAUGGUAUCAAAUACUGCCAACAGACCAAGUAAUACAUGCAUUGAAGUGUCUACUGGAUCUAGCUAUAUAUGAAGAAACUGAGGCAGACAGAGGUGAAGAAACUUGCACAAGGUCAAAGAACAAACGAUACAUAUUUUAAUAUGAUGAGUCUCCUGGGAUCUUUUAAAACGAAGUUGUUCAUACAUUAUAAUAAAUCCAUUUAAAUCACAGUG